CCCUUAGAUGUUCUGGGCCGCACGCGCGCUACACUGAUGCAUUCAACGAGCCUAUCCUUGACCGACAGGUCCGGGUAAUCUUUGAAACUGCAUCGUGACGGGGAUAGAUUAUUGCAAUUAUUAAUCUUCAACGAGGAAUGCCUAGUAGGCGCAAGUCAUCAGCUUGCGUCGAUUACGUCCCUGCCCUUUGUACACACCGCCCGUCGCUCCUACCGAUUGGGUGUGCUGGUGAAAUGUUCGGAUCGGCCGUUUGUCGCGGUUUCCGCGUCAUGUGGCUGAGAAGUUCAUUAAACCCUCCCACCUAGAGGAAGGAGAAGUCGUAACA
Molecule: ribosomal RNA, 325 nt
Filed under: uncultured eukaryote
Lineage: Eukaryota
Description: partial 18S ribosomal RNA
Rfam family: Eukaryotic small subunit ribosomal RNA
Source: RNAcentral